CCAGCUCCAAUAGCGUAUAUUAAAGUUGUUGCAGUUAAAAGGCUCGUAGUCUGCUUUUAGAUAUUCGACAGUUUUCCCCAACUCGAUGAGUUGGAUGUGAAAUUAAUCGUUGUCUUUGUGGCAUGUAUCACUUCUGCUCUUCGUUGGGUUGGUUGUGAGAUCCUGCUUCUUUUACUGUGAGAAAACCAAGGUGCUCAAUGCGGACAUUUUUGUUUAUAUGCGUUAGCAUGGAAUAAUGAGAGAUGGCUUUGAUCCUUUUUGUUGGCUGCGGGAUUAAAGUAAUGAUUGAUAGAGAUGAUUGGGGAUGCUCGUAUUCAAUGGUAAGCGGUGAAAUGCUUGGACCCGUUGAAGACGAACCUAUGCGAAAGCAUUCAUCAUGGGUAUCUUCA
RNAcentral lists this ribosomal RNA (389 nucleotides) under uncultured Acanthocystidae. RNAcentral's name for it is "SSU rRNA". It matches the Rfam family "Eukaryotic small subunit ribosomal RNA", at positions 585 to 972 of the family's 1831-position model. The record is from RNAcentral. Lineage: Eukaryota; Centroplasthelida; Acanthocystida; Acanthocystidae.